Molecule: long non-coding RNA, 1009 nt
Filed under: Marmota monax (woodchuck)
Lineage: Eukaryota; Metazoa; Chordata; Mammalia; Rodentia; Sciuridae
Source: RNAcentral
CACAAACAUGCAUAUACAUAGGACAAUAAACCAUUCUUUGUUUGAAUAAAUUGACAAAACCUUUAAAAAAAUUAAUGAUAUCAAAAGAAAAAUACAAUUACUCUUUGUAAGUCAUUUUAAAGAUAGAUACAGAUCAUUCCCAGAAUGCAAGGAUAACUCAUUAUGAGAUUAUGAUCAUCCCAAAGGAAGGGAAAUAUGUCACCAUCUCUUUUUAAAAAGAAGUGCAUUGAAGUUGUACAUAAUAGUGGGAUUUAUUUUCACAAUUCACAAAUGCAUAUAGCAUGGUUUUCUGCUUUUCAAUGGGUAAUACCAUCCUCUUCCCUCUCCUUGUUUCCCUUCCUCUACUCUAUUGGUCUUUAUUGUAUGUAUUUAUUUUUACUUGCUGCAUUAUAUGUUUAUAUAAAAUUGGAAUACAUUGAUAUAUUCAUACAUGCACCUAGUAUAAUUUGGUCAACAUCAUUCCCCAGUUCUUCCCCUCUCUCCCCCUUCCUAUAUUCCUCUUGGAUCUCCAGCUUCUAUUCUACUCAUAUCUCUUCUAUAUUCAUCCGAUCCCCUUUUUUAAAAUUCCUUUUAUCUUUCUAAUUUCCACACAUGAGAGAAAAUGUUCAGCCUUUGAUAUUCUGCAUCUGUCUUAUUUCACUUCAUGUGAUGGUCUUCAGUUCUACCCAUUUACACCUUCUUUGUGGCUGAGCAUAUAUCUAUUGUGUAUAUAUGCCACUUUUUCUGUAUUCAUUUGUCUUGAUGAGCACCCACACUAGUUCCAUUGCUUGGCUGUUUUGUAUUGUGUUGCUAUAAACAUUGGUAUGCAUGUGUCACUACAUUAUGUCGAUUUUAGUUGUUUUUUUGGGGGGAGGCUCAAUAACAAAGAGUGGGAUAGAUAAUAGGUGGCUGAGUCAUUUGGUAGUUGCAUUCCCUUUGAGGAAUCUCCAUACUACUUUUCAAAGUGGCUGUGAUAAUUUAUACUCCCACCAACAAUUAAUAAAUGUACCCUUUUCCCCAUAUCCUCACC